UGGCGUGCAACAGUCGUCUUCGAAGCUGCGUCUAUUUAGCACGUGUCUGCGACAGGUAUCGGCCAAUAGCGGAAUUUACCGAAGAAUGCCGAAGCGAUGCCGACCGGUCUUCGUCGGGAAGGAAGGUCUCGCCAUUUCUCUCGCGAACGUCGAAGUAACAGGACGUAUUGAGAGCAUCCUUCCGUAUAAAUAAUAUUUGAUGGAUAUUGAAAGCCGUGACAUCUAAUAUGGGUUUGAAAUAGAAUUUCGUAAGAAUUUAUUGUUUUAAUUUAUUGUAAUCGAUUAUUAACAUUUAUUAUUACUUUUUUUUUAUCGAGUCGUUGU
Non-coding RNA from Osmia lignaria (orchard mason bee), 324 nucleotides. The record is from RefSeq and is a predicted model, not a curated record. Lineage: Eukaryota; Metazoa; Arthropoda; Insecta; Hymenoptera; Megachilidae.